CACACACUCAGCUUUGUCUUAACACACACACUCAUUGGGUGGAGCGUGGCGGUUCCUGCCCUCAGGACAGGGUGUAUGUAUGUAUGUGUGUGUGUGUGUGUGUGUGUGUGUGUGUGUGUGUGUGUGUGUGUUGGGGGUUAACCCACCGCCUGACUGUGACAAAUCAGAGCGGUGCUGCCUCAUCAGUCACAUGUGGCAUCAUAUUAUCUCGGCCUUCGCCCUUCACCCCGUCUUUCUCCCCCCCUUCCCUCCAUCUAACGCGCAUCGUCACCAGACAUAUCUCUCUCUUCUUCUUCUUCUCCCUCCGUUUCUCUGUCUUCAUCUGGCGUUUGGGUGAUUUGUUUCAGUUCGUUUGGACACAAGUUUGAGCCGAAGUGAAGGUGAACAGCUCGUUUAAAUGCCCCUAUUUCUAAGCAUUUAAGUGUUUCAUUUAGAGGCGUUGAAAGAUGCUUAACUCGUACGUUUUAAAUCGUUCAGUGGUUUGGUUCUUGUUGUCUCGGUAGCUUAGUGUUUUGUCUUAAUUAGUCUUUAUCGUUGUGCUUUUGCAAACCUGCUUUGCAUUAUUUUGUGCAAUUGAACAGAACUUCGAGCAGCAUGUCUUGCAGUUUGGGUUUUAGAUGCAGAGAUUUGGCCAGUUUCAUUCAAUAAAAUAACAACAGGCCUUUUUUUUUUAAAGCCAGUUGUGGCGGAAAUGAAGCUAAAAACAUUUACAGCCACUUUAAGACCUCUCACACGUUAUUUAAAUUAAAUUUAUCAAGAUCGGAUCUAAAAUUAUUCUAUUUUUUGUUGCAGUGAGAUCUAAAUGGCUCUAUCUUACUGUUUUAUUGACAAGUUUUAAUCUCUUGUUAGUGUGAAUGCUACUUUUUUCAUAUUUCAUGUUUCUCUUUGUUGUUCUACUUUUUCCCUUUAACCUGGAAUGAUUUUUGUCUGUUUCGAUGAAGUGAAAAGUACUUUAAGCUAAAUGUUUUGCAUUGCAGCUGCUGCACGAACAAAGAUUUGAUUGAUGACGCCUGAUGUAAAUCGUGACACGGAUACAGAAAAGGCUUCAUGUAGCUGCUGUGUGUGUUCAGAGAUGUUGGGACAAUAAAGCUUCCUUUGAAUUUAAAACCUGGUGAUGACAGCUGUACAGUGUGUGUUUAUAGAGCCAGUGUGUGUCGGUAAGUGUGCGUUUCUGCCUGAUUUCCAUUUGUCACCAUUAAUUAAACCUGUCCGACAGGUAACGACACACACACACAGUUACCUGACAUAGAGCUGUACACCUGCUCUCUGUUGGACACACACACACACACACACACACACACACCUUGUUUCUGUCUCUGUAUGGGAUGUUUCUAGCAACAUCAUAUAUGAAUUUCAACAGGCUGUUAAUUUACAGAACAAGCAAAAAUAAAAAAAAACAUGUUCAGGUAGGAAUAUUAGUCCAGGUGCGUUCUGCUACGUUUAGCAUUAGCUACAGAAACACAGAGGUUUAAUGGAAACUAUUUGUUGUAAAAUGAGGAAAAAGUAAAUUAUAUUUGCUGAAACUGAAACUGAUUCUAGUUUCUACUCGAUUUUCUACUGUGAUCCAAAAGGGUGUGAGGGGAUAAAUGAAGUCACUACGGCGGCAGGGCUGAUGGGAAAUGUGGUCAAAACUGUGUGUGUGUGUACUUGCUACAUAGUGAGGACCGAAACACGUUUUUUACCUACAGAGUGAGGACAUUUUGGCCGGUCCUCACAACUUCACAGGGCUGUUUGAAGGUUAAGACUUGGUUUUUAAGGGUUAAAGUCAGGCUGAGGGGCGAGGGAAUGCACCGUGUCGAAGACUGUCCUCACAAAGAUAGAAGCACGGGGAGGUGUGUGCUCCAGAUGGGGUUCAUGGCGGGAUAAAAACACAGAUCAGUCCUGGUUCAGCUGAAGAGUCUCAACACGAAGCAAGGCACUGCUGCUGCCUGGGUUGAGGGUUCAACUCCCACUCCACUGCCAGAUGGUGAAAGUUUUACUUGAGUUUUUUGCCGUUUUGGAACCUUUUUGAUUGUUUUAAUUUUCGUUCUGUUGCUCUUUAUUUGUGUCAGUUGUCUUUUCGUAUGUGGAGUCAUUUCACUUAUUUUCUGAUCUUUAUAUUUGGCUUGUUUUGCCCUUUCUUGUUUUUUUGAUACUGUGUGAUUUCGAAUAGUUGUUUGUUUUAAAUGUUACUGUUUUUGUGUGGAGCUCAGGAAGACGAGCGAGCACUUUGUGGGAAUCCAAUAAAGAAUAAAGUCACAUUAGUCAGUUUUUGGUGCUCUGGCAAGGAGCAAUAACAAUUAAAGAUACAGAAGAUGAAUGACUGAUGAAGUCAACUUCAAGUCAGUUUGUUACCUUAACAGUCAAAUUAUUUAUACAGUAUACAGGACUUCGCCCUCUGUCCUCAGACGGUUGGAUAAGUAAAAGCUCUUUAACACACACAACAAAAAAGGUCGAAGCCUCAGGGAUCCACAGGACGGAAAGAGGAAUCGUUUUAGUCAAUGACCAAAGUAAAAAUUCCAAAUAUUUGCGUCUCCAGUUUGAGGACUUGCUGUUUACAUCACAGUAAACUGAACGUCUGCGGUUGUUGGACUGCUGGUCGGACAAAACGAGUCAUUUGAAGAGGUCGCCUUGGCUCCUCGUCACUAUUUUGGGACAUCGAUAAGCAGUUGUUCUUGUUUGGAAAGCCGAACACGAGGACCGAUGCUGAUAUUCAUCUGCUUACACGACAUGUGUUUGCUAACUGAAACACCGCAGAAGACUCGUGCCGAGGUUCAGCCGCUGGAAUCUCCGGCCCGACGUGAUGAAAGUGUGUCGACGCUCUGUCCAAUAAACAAGCCGCAUGAGAGUUUUGUUUCCGAGCGUCGGUGGGCUCGUGGGCACUGUAAAGCCAAACAAACUGAAUCCAAAGGAUGCAGCAGUCAGCUUUUUCCUCUUUGUUUUGGUGGCUUAAAGGUUAGAGAAGCGCUGGAUUUUAUUAUCGAUUAAUCUGUUCUCAGGCAGCUUUCGCACCGAACCUGUGUGACGUGGCUUACCUGGCACGUGGUGUGUUUGCCUGUUUUAAUUUGGUUCAUUUAGGCAGGUAUGAAAGCUGCCAAUAAUACUAAUACUAAGAUAAUGUCAGAUAAUAUCAGUUUCCUGAAGCCCAAUGCGACGUCUUCAGAUGUCUUGUUUACAAUCACAUAAGACAAAGAAAAGCAGCAAAUCUUCACAUUGAAGAAGCUGGAACCAGAGACGUUUUGGCGUUUAUGGUUUUAAAAAAAAACGACUUAAAUGAUUAAUUUAUUACCAAAAUAGUCGCGGAUUAAUUUUCUGUUGCUCAGUUAAUCUCAUACUUGUCAUUCAUCACAGGAAGCCGUUCAUUCUGAAUUCAACCUCUAAAGAUGUGAGACGUUGGGAAGCUGAGAAGAUUAAGAGUUUAAAUAUCGGCCUUUUGACGGACGGGAACGACAACCUGUUUGUUUUGAUUCCCUCAUAAAACAGAAGCGCACAGUUGUUUUCUACGCGCUUCAUUUACAAAAUGGAGGAACAGCUGAUCUCCGCGGUCAGCGGCUUCCCCGUUCUCUACAGUAGAACUAUGAUAAGAGGAACGAUGCAUGGAAACACAAAAGAAAGGGAAACAAACUAGGCGACGUGGCGAAGGAGGCGUUUGUACUUCCACGUUUGUCGUCAUGUUAUCAUCAGCAGACCAACACAGGUAGCCGAGGUGGAAGUGAGCAACAAGUAGACUGGGGUAUUUCUUUAUUUCCAACGUGUGACACAAAAUAACAUUGCUACAAACUGAGCCCAACCCGAGGGUUAAACCUUACAGCACCUCUUCUCCUGAUGAACUUCCCUCUCCUCUGACAAACGCUGUCUUCGACGCAGGCCUGGUUGUAAAUCUUCCAGGGUUUCAUGGCAUCGCUCGGGAUGAUGGUAUUAACGUUGUAAUGCCACCCUGACGUGUUUGGCUGUAACUGUAACCCAGCCUGAACACAGACCCGGAGAGAUACAGAUACUGGUUUUAGUGUUUGAUCCGUCACACAUUCAAAGGUGUUUACAUACUGUUUUAAUCAAAGACUAUUGGCGUCGUCUUGCUUCCUGACGUAGUAUUCAGUUGAGGUCUUUGUGACAUUGAGCCGGUGUAGCUGGGGAGGCAGAGUGGGUCGUCUGUUAGUUGUAGGGUUGGCGGUUUGAUCUCUGGCUGUCCUUGAGCAAGACACUCAAAAGCAAACACAACACGAAACAUCUUGAUGUUUGUAUUGAAACUGUCUAUUAAAACUUUGCAGCAAGCAGGAAGAGAGAGAAGGGGAAAUAAAAAUCUAAUUUGGACAUUGAAUUAGUGCACAGACAGUCUCUAAUGUGAGGCUUUACUGCUGUUCUCUGUUUAAAUGACAUGUAAACUUGACUGUUUUGGGGUUUUGGACUGUUGGUCGGACAAAACAAGACAGCUGAAGACGUCACUGCCGGCUUUAGAAGAGUUUGCUCUGUUUUCUGACCUUUCAGAGACCAAACAAUUGAUCGAGUAACAGUCCAAAUAACAAAACAAUCACAUCAUUUAGAAAAGAAAAGUACGUUGAUGUAAACUUCAGUCAACGGUU
Siniperca chuatsi (mandarin fish) is the source of this 4559-nucleotide long non-coding RNA. RefSeq lists it as uncharacterized. The transcript is spliced from 3 exons. The record is from RefSeq and is a predicted model, not a curated record. Lineage: Eukaryota; Metazoa; Chordata; Actinopteri; Centrarchiformes; Sinipercidae.